Molecule: long non-coding RNA, 1114 nt
Filed under: Capsella rubella
Lineage: Eukaryota; Viridiplantae; Streptophyta; Magnoliopsida; Brassicales; Brassicaceae
Description: long non-coding RNA (CRUB_LNC005133)
Source: RNAcentral
UUGGGGUCGAGUGGCGUACGUUGAUGGGGCCUUUAAGAGUUUAAAGCAACUUGAUCUUUGAAUAUCAGUGGUGAGGAGCAGGGCCCUCCUGCAUUGACAAUUGUGAGUUUGGCUUUCAUUAUUCGAAAAUCUGACUCGGUCUCUAUCGAUUCGACACUCAUUUGACAUUUUUGGUGUUUUAGUUUUUACCAUCAUUAAAUCAAUAUCCAUGGAUUAUGACAACAUGACACUUCUAAUUAUAAUUGUAAUGACCAAAUAAGAAAAAUCAUCUUCUUAGAAAAAGGUCCAAAUUAACUAUAGACACACUCUAAUGUUUAUUGGGAAACCAAUACGACAAGUAGGUUAUGCCUAUGAAUUUAUCUAUACCUGAUGCGAUUAUAAGUAGUAAUUUUUUUUUUUUUUGGGUUAAUAUACAUAUUUGACUGGAGUACGUAACAUAACGAUUUGUACUAGCUAGUGAAUAUGCUUGUUCAAAUUUGAUGAUGUGAUUAUGUAGAAGACAAUAUUUUGUUUAAUAAUACAUGAAAGGCCAUUAAAGAUUUUGGAGGUAAUUGACUGGUCUUACGGCGUAGCAAGCCAUCUAAUUAGUGUGCUCUAAAUUGCAUUUAGUUUAUUCGCGUCAGUAACCUUAUGAGAUCCCCAAAAGCUAUCCUAACAAAAAAUUUAGCUCAAAUGAUUCAUUUAUAGAUGAGGCAAAAACUGAAUCAAGUACUAGAAGAAGAGAACACAAAACUAGGGUGAUAUACUGAUAUGUGAUGGAUUAGUUUAUACUCUAAUGGUCAUUCGUAAAAUGUAUUGAUGGUGUGGGUGUGGGCUCAAUUUGACCUCUAUUGGAAAUGGUCAUAUAUCGAUGGCCAAUCAUCUUUUAAUCAAUUGAGCCCAUGCUCUGAUGCUCCUCCUCACCUUAAGAAAAAGCUUGAAAACUUUAAGAAAAAUAUUUCUUAAAAUUAAGAAUAGAUUAAGGAAACAAAUGAUAUUUUCUUUUUUCAGGUUUACGAUGAUAUUGUUCUGAAAACAGUGACGAGAAUGCAACCAUGGGAGCAUGUAAUCUUCAAAGGAGUUUUUUUUGUUUGUUUUCCUCUGGUUUGGCUAACUAAUAUAAAAGUGCAUGUUG